GACGAACGCUGGCGUCGUGCUUAACACAUGCAAGUCGAACGGAAAGGCCCUGCUUUUGUGGGGUGCUCGAGUGGCGAACGGGUGAGUAACACGUGAGUAACCUGCCCUUGACUUUGGGAUAACUUCAGGAAACUGGGGCUAAUACCGGAUAGGAGCUCCUGCUGCAUGGGGGGGGUUGGAAAGUUUCGGCGGUUGGGGAUGGACUCGCGGCUUAUCAGCUUGUUGGUGGGGUAGUGGCUUACCAAGGCUUUGAAGGGUAGCCGGCCUGAGAGGGUGACCGGCCACAUUGGGACUGAGAUACGGCCCAGACUCCUACGGGAGGCAGCAGUGGGGAAUAUUGCACAAUGGGCGGAAGCCUGAUGCAGCAACGCCGCGUGCGGGAUGACGGCCUUCGGGUUGUAAACCGCUUUCGCCUGUGACGAAGCGUGAGUGACGGUAAUGGGUAAAGAAGCACCGGCUAACUACGUG
This 468-nucleotide ribosomal RNA is filed under the name uncultured bacterium. Its description in RNAcentral is "partial 16S ribosomal RNA". It matches the Rfam family "Bacterial small subunit ribosomal RNA", at positions 28 to 507 of the family's 1533-position model. The record is from RNAcentral.